GACGUCUGAUGAACUUGGGAUGUGCCACUGGACACCCAAGUUUUGUCAUGUCCUGCUCGUUCACUAACCAGGUGAUUGCCCAGCUCGAACUAUGGAAGGAGAAGGCAACUGGAAAAUAUGAGAAGAAGGUUUACGUAUUGCCAAAGCACCUCGACGAGAAAGUUGCUGCACUUCACCUCGGCAAGCUCGGAGCUAAGCUCACUAAGCUCACUAAAGAUCAAGCUGAUUACAUUAGUGUGCCUGUUGAAGGUCCUUACAAGCCUCCUCAUUACAGGUACUGAGAGAAGAGUUGAUGAGUUUUUAUCAAGAAAGAAAAAACAUCCGGA
This 326-nucleotide long non-coding RNA is filed under the name Gossypium barbadense (sea-island cotton). RNAcentral's name for it is "long non-coding RNA (GBAR_LNC008593)". The record is from RNAcentral. Lineage: Eukaryota; Viridiplantae; Streptophyta; Magnoliopsida; Malvales; Malvaceae.